Molecule: ribosomal RNA, 494 nt
Filed under: uncultured bacterium
Lineage: Bacteria
Description: partial 16S ribosomal RNA
Rfam family: Bacterial small subunit ribosomal RNA
Source: RNAcentral
GACGAACGCUGGCGGCGUGCUUAACACAUGCAAGUCGAACGGUGAAGCGCCUUCCUUUUUGGUGGGUGUGGAUGAGUGGCGAACGGGUGAGUAACACGUGAGUAACCUGCCCCCUUCUUCUGGAUAACCGCAUGAAAGUGUGGCUAAUACGGGAUAUUCUGUGUCUGUCGCAUGAUGGGUCUGGGAAAGAUAUUGUUUCGGUGGGGGAUGGGCUCGCGUCCUAUCAGCUUGUUGGUGGGGUGAUGGCCUACCAAGGCGGUGACGAGUAGCCGGCCUGAGAGGGUGGACGAUCACACAGGGGCUGAGACACGGACCAGACUCCUACGGGAGGCAGCAGUGAGGAAUAUUGCACGAUGGGCGCAAGCAUGAUGCAGCGACGCCGCGUGAGGGAUGGAGGCCUUCGGGUUGUGAACCUCUUUCGCCAGUGAAGCAGGCCUGCCUCGUUUGUGGGUGGGUUGACGGUAGCUGGAGAAGAAGCGCCGGCUAACUACGUG